UUUGAUCAUGGCUCAGGAUGAACGCUGGCGGCGUGCCUAAUACAUGCAAGUCGAACGAGUUCUCGUUGAUGAUCGGUGCUUGCACCGAGAUUCAACAUGGAACGAGUGGCGGACGGGUGAGUAACACGUGGGUAACCUGCCCUUAAGUGGGGGAUAACAUUUGGAAACAGAUGCUAAUACCGCAUAGAUCCAAGAACCGCAUGGUUCUUGGCUGAAAGAUGGCGUAAGCUAUCGCUUUUGGAUGGACCCGCGGCGUAUUAGCUAGUUGGUGAGGUAANGGCUCACCAAGGCGAUGAUACGUAGCCGAACUGAGAGGUUGAUCGGCCACAUUGGGACUGAGACACGGCCCAAACUCCUACGGGAGGCAGCAGUAGGGAAUCUUCCACAAUGGACGCAAGUCUGAUGGAGCAACGCCGCGUGAGUGAAGAAGGCUUUCGGGUCGUAAAACUCUGUUGUUGGAGAAGAAUGGUCGGCAGAGUAACUGUUGUCGGCGUGACGGUAUCCAACCAGAAAGCCACGGCUAACUACGUGCCAGCAGCCGCGGUAAUACGUAGGUGGCAAGCGUUAUCCGGAUUUAUUGGGCGUAAAGCGAGCGCAGGCGGUUUUUUAAGUCUGAUGUGAAAGCCCUCGGCUUAACCGAGGAAGCGCAUCGGAAACUGGGAAACUUGAGUGCA
RNAcentral lists this ribosomal RNA (674 nucleotides) under Lacticaseibacillus casei. RNAcentral's name for it is "bacterial SSU rRNA". It matches the Rfam family "Bacterial small subunit ribosomal RNA", at positions 12 to 650 of the family's 1533-position model. The record is from RNAcentral. Lineage: Bacteria; Bacillati; Bacillota; Bacilli; Lactobacillales; Lactobacillaceae.